RNAcentral lists this long non-coding RNA (590 nucleotides) under Mustela putorius furo (domestic ferret). RNAcentral describes it as "lncRNA (ENSMPUG00000027988.1)". Lineage: Eukaryota; Metazoa; Chordata; Mammalia; Carnivora; Mustelidae. The record is from RNAcentral.
AAUCUUUUUAUUAAAGUGAGACAAGUGAUAAAGAACUGAGUCUUUCUAAAAUUACAGAUUAUGAAUCACCGGAAAAACUGAUGGCGUAUGCAUAUCAAAUCUGUGCUUGAAAACAUCAUAUUGCCAGAAGGCUAUGACUGGAAUGGAGAGUAGAAAAAAGACGCAAAACGUCAAUGACGAAUGUGUAACAGUGAUCAGCUAGAUCAUGUUUGGCAGAAAAGCAGGCCUGGAAAGUAAGCUAGACAGAAGAAAAUAUUAUUUGGAAAAUUAUAAGGAAGAGAAAAUACAUUUAUAGUUCUGUACCACAUCAAAACCAUCUACAUGUAAGUGGACUCAUGCAGUUCAAAGCCAUGUUGUUCAAGGACCAACCUGCACUUAUUAUUAUUAUUUUUUGAGUUAAAAAAAAGUUUUCUGUAGGAAGAAAUAUGCAAGUGUCAUAGUUCGAUAUGGACCCACUCUACUUGGAUCCUGACCUGCCAACAUGGCCGCCUAAAUUCUGGUUGUAGGUCAGAUGCUUUGUUUCCCAUUCCACUGCCAGCUCUUCUCAGUGGAGCUCUUCUUACUCUGGGAUCUUUCUUACCUCCUUUAAC